ACAAUUUAUUCUGAACAGGCAGCUGCUCGGCAGUUGGCCGGGCCUGCAAAAGCGGGCAGCAGAUCAAGCUUAUGUAAAAAAGCCUGCGGGACAGAC
Molecule: non-coding RNA, 96 nt
Filed under: unclassified sequences
Description: NiCo sequence
Rfam family: NiCo (Nickel/Cobalt) riboswitch aptamer
Source: RNAcentral